CAGGAGCUGGCCCGACGCACUUGCCUUCCUCCUUCGUUUCCCAAGGAAGACGGAGAAGUGUUUCUGCAGGAGAAAGGAGGGUAGAGCCGUGACAGCACUAGUCUCCCUGGAUCCCCAGGAGCAAAGGCAGAGUUCAGACUGGGCCUCUGAGGGCAGGGCCCCUGACCCAGGCCAGCCCCUCGCACUGAGGUCUGCAUCACAAAGAUGUCCCUGUUUUGGUAACGACCUCCUGGGCGGACUCCCGACCUGUUUCCAGUGAUGGCGUGGCUUCAUUCAGCCUGCUGGCCCCUGUGAUAGAGACGAAAACACUGGAAGGAACACUCUCUCUUUCAAGAGAGUUCAUGGUUUCCAGGCUGAGCAUCCUUGUGCCUCCACACUGUUUCCUGCGGGGCUUCUCGGCAAAAUGCAGAUCAGCCCUCUUCUCGGGGAGCAGUGGCUCCCCCAGGGUGAAGAUUUCAACCUCAUCCUGAGUCCUGCUCUCUCCCCUCCGGAGCCGGACUUUGAACUCCCGUCCAAACCCCAGGAGGAGGAUCCUGCUUGGACCCAAAAUCUUUUCCAGCACACGUGCCUCCACGUGAAGCACCGACGGUUUCCGCAAGUGCAGACACCCGCACCAGUACGGCCAGUUCCGGUGUGCUUUCUGGAAGCGGAACACUUCCCGCUGGCCCUGGGCUGCUGCGGCGCAGCAGGUGCCGGACCUCAGCAGGUGCCGGAGCUCUGCAGGUGCCGUGUCCACAAGGACUCCUUGCAAUGCAAGUAACAAAGUCCAAGUCAAGCUGUGUUAGAUACUAGAAGACUUUUAUUGACCCACCUGACUUGAAGAAAAAGUGGGAGGCAGGGAAUGAGGGGGAUGAAAUGUCUCCCGUCGUUGAUGAAUAAAGAUCUUUCACUCUGAAU
Suricata suricatta (meerkat) is the source of this 897-nucleotide long non-coding RNA. The record is from Ensembl. NCBI's taxonomy places the organism in Eukaryota, Metazoa, Chordata, Mammalia, Carnivora, Herpestidae.